UCACUUUCAACAACGGAUCUCUUGGCUCUCGCAUCGAUGAAGAACGUAGCGAAGUGCGAUAAGUAGUGUGAAUUGCAGAAUUCCGUGAAUCAUCGAAUUUUUGAACGCAAAUUGCACUCUCUGGCACUCCGGAGAGUAUGCCUGUUUGAGGGUCGAUA
This 158-nucleotide ribosomal RNA is filed under the name uncultured Glomus. RNAcentral describes it as "5.8S ribosomal RNA". It matches the Rfam family "5.8S ribosomal RNA". From Rfam's summary of the family: 5.8S ribosomal RNA (5.8S rRNA) is a component of the large subunit of the eukaryotic ribosome. It is transcribed by RNA polymerase I as part of the 45S precursor that also contains 18S and 28S rRNA. Lineage: Eukaryota; Fungi; Glomeromycota; Glomeromycetes; Glomerales; Glomeraceae. The record is from RNAcentral.